AAAUACUUAGUGGCGGACGGGUGAGUAACGCGUGAGAAUCUGCCUUCAGGACGGAGACAACAGUUGGAAACGACUGCUAAGCCCCGAUGAACCGAAAGGGAAAAUAUUUAUAGCCUGAAGAUGAGUUCGCGUCCGAUUAGCUAGUUGGCGGAGUAAAAGCCCACCAAGGCGACGAUCGGUAGCUGGUCUGAGAGGACGAUCAGCCACACUGGGACUGAGACACGGCCCAG
This 230-nucleotide ribosomal RNA is filed under the name uncultured bacterium. RNAcentral describes it as "partial 16S ribosomal RNA". It matches the Rfam family "Bacterial small subunit ribosomal RNA", at positions 86 to 334 of the family's 1533-position model. The record is from RNAcentral.